RNAcentral lists this ribosomal RNA (468 nucleotides) under uncultured bacterium. Its description in RNAcentral is "partial 16S ribosomal RNA". It matches the Rfam family "Bacterial small subunit ribosomal RNA", at positions 28 to 507 of the family's 1533-position model. The record is from RNAcentral.
GACGAACGCUGGCGGCGUGCUUAACACAUGCAAGUCGAACGGAAAGGCCCUGCUUUUGUGGGGUGCUCGAGUGGCGAACGGGUGAGUAACACGUGAGUAACCUGCCCUUGACUUUGGGAUAACUUCAGGAAACUGGGGCUAAUACCGGAUAGGAGCUCCUGCUGCAUGGUGGGGGUUGGAAAGUUUCGGCGGUUGGGGAUGGACUCGCGGCUUAUCAGCUUGUUGGUGGGGUAGUGGCUUACCAAGGCUUUGACGGGUAGCCGGCCUGAGAGGGUGACCGGCCACAUGGGGACUGAGAUACGGCGCAGACUCCUACGGGAGGCAGCAGUGGGGAAUAUUGCACAAUGGGCGGAAGCCUGAUGCAGCAACGCCGCGUGCGGGAUGACGGCCUUCGGGGUGUAAACCGCUUUCGCCUGUGACGAAGCGUGAGUGACGGUAAUGGGUAAAGAAGCACCGGCUAACUACGUG